RNAcentral lists this ribosomal RNA (254 nucleotides) under uncultured bacterium. Its description in RNAcentral is "partial 16S ribosomal RNA". It matches the Rfam family "Bacterial small subunit ribosomal RNA", at positions 524 to 776 of the family's 1533-position model. The record is from RNAcentral.
UACGGGGGGAGCAAGCGUUGUUCGGAUUUACUGGGCGUAAAGGGCGCGUAGGCGGUCAGCACAAGUCAGUUGUGAAAUCUCCGGGCUUAACCCGGAAAGGUCAACUGAUACUGUGCGACUAGAGUGCGGAAGGGGCAACUGGAAUUCUCGGUGUAGCGGUGAAAUGCGUAGAUAUCGAGAGGAACACCUGCGGCGAAGGCGGGUUGCUGGGCCGACACUGACGCUGAGGCGCGAAAGCUAGGGGAGCAAACGGG